Molecule: ribosomal RNA, 253 nt
Filed under: uncultured bacterium
Lineage: Bacteria
Description: partial 16S ribosomal RNA
Rfam family: Bacterial small subunit ribosomal RNA
Source: RNAcentral
UACGUAGGCAGCAAGCGUUGUUCGGAGUUACUGGGCGUAAAGGGUGUGUAGGCGGCCUGUUAAGUUCCGUGUGAAAUCUCCCGGCUCAACCGGGAGGGUGCGCGGAAAACUGGCGGGCUAGAGUGCGGGAUGGGAGAGUAGAAUUCCUGGUGUAGCGGUGAAAUGCGUAGAUAUCAGGAGGAAUACCGGUGGUGUAGACGGCUCUCUGGGACGGUACUGACGCUGAGACGCGAAAGCGUGGGGAGCGAACAGG